GACGAACGCUGGCGGCGUGCUUAACACAUGCAAGUCGAGCGGUAAGGCCCUUCGGGGUCCACGAGCGGCGAACGGGUGAGUAACACGUGAGUAAUCUGCCCAUCACUUCGGGAUAACUCCGGGAAACCGGUGCUAAUACCGAAUAUGACCACUUCAGGCAUCUGAUGGUGGUGGAAAGUUCCGGCGGUGAUGGAUGAGCUCGCGGCCUAUCAGCUUGUUGGUGGGGUAGUGGCCUACCAAGGCUUCGACGGGUAGCCGGCCUGGGAGGGUGACCGGCCACACUGGGACUGAGACACGGCCCAGACUCCUACGGGAGGCAGCAGUGGGGAAUAUUGGACAAUGGGCGAAAGCCUGAUCCAGCAACGCCGCGUGAGGGAUGACGGCCUUCGGGUUGUAAACCUCUUUCAGCAGGGACGAAGCGCAAGUGACGGUACCUGCAGAAGAAGCACCGGCCAACUACGUG
Molecule: ribosomal RNA, 463 nt
Filed under: uncultured bacterium
Lineage: Bacteria
Description: partial 16S ribosomal RNA
Rfam family: Bacterial small subunit ribosomal RNA
Source: RNAcentral